RNAcentral lists this ribosomal RNA (468 nucleotides) under uncultured bacterium. RNAcentral describes it as "partial 16S ribosomal RNA". It matches the Rfam family "Bacterial small subunit ribosomal RNA", at positions 28 to 507 of the family's 1533-position model. The record is from RNAcentral.
GACGAACGCUGGCGGCGGGCCUAACACAUGCAAGUCGAACGGAAAGGCCCGGCUUUUGUGCGGUGCUCGAGGGGCGAACGGGGGAGUAACACGUGAGUAACCUGCCCCUGACGGUGGGAUAACUUCAGGAAACUGGGGCUAAUACCGGAUAGGAGCUCCCGCUGUAUGGGGGGGGCGGGAAAGUUUCGGCGGUUGGGGAUGGAGUCGCGGCUUAUCAGCUAGUUGGUGGGGUAGUGUCGUACCAAGGCUUUGACGGGUAGCCGGCCUGAGAGGGUGGCCUGCCCCGUUGGGUCUGGGAUGCGACCCAGACUCCUCCGGGACGCAACGGUGCAGAGUGUUACACAGUGGGCGGAAGCCUGGCGCGACGACGCCGCGUCCGGGGUGACGGCCUUCGGGUUGUAUUCCACUUUCGCCUGUGCCGAAGCGUUAAUGACGGUACUGGGUGAAGAAGCCCCGGCUAACUACGUG